AUAACGGUCCUAAGGUAGCGAAAUUCCUUGUCGGGUAAGUUCCGACCCGCACGAAUGGUGUAAUGAUCUGGGCACUGUCUCAAUUACCCGCCCGGCGAAAUUGUAGUACCGGUGAAGAUGCCGGUUACCCGCGACAAGACGGAAAGACCCCAUGGAGCUUUACUGCAGCUUGAUAUUGGGUUUCGGUAAUCUAUGUACAGGAUAGGCGGGAGACUAGGAAGUAAAGGCGCCAGCUUUUACGGAGUCGCCCUUGGGAUACCGCUCUUAGAUUGCUGGAAUUCUAACCUGCGGCCAUGAAACUGGUCGGGGAACAUUGUCAGGCGGGCAGUUUGACUGGGGCGGUCGCCUCCUAAAGAGUAACGGAGGCGCUCAAAGGUUGGCUCAGCACGGACGGAAACCGUGCCUCUGAGUGUAAACGCACAAGCCAGCCUAACUGCGAGGAUGACGGUCCGAGCAGUAACGAAAGUUGGAGUUAGUGAUCCGGCGGUAUGUGAAUGGAAAUGCCGUCGCUCAACGGAUAAAAGCUACCCUGGGGAUAACAGGCUGAUCUCCCCCAAGAGUCCACAUCGACGGGGAGGUUUGGCACCUCGAUGUCGGCUCAUCGCAUCCUGGGGCUGAAGUAGGUCCCAAGGGUUGGGCUGUUCGCCCAUUAAAGCGGUACGCGAGCUGGGUUCAGAACGUCGUGAGACAGUUCGGUCCCUAUCUGUCGUGGGCGCAGGAUAUUUGAGGAGUGCUGUCCUUAGUACGAGAGGACCGGGAUGGACGCACCGCUGGUGCACCAGUUGUCACGCCAGUGGCACAGCUGGGCAGCUAAGUGCGGAUCGGAUAAACGCUGAAAGCAUCUAAGCGUGAAGCCGGCUCCAAGAUAAGAUAUCCCAUAACGAAAGUUAGUAAGACCCCUUGAAGACUACAAGGUUGAUAGGCUGCGUGUGUAAGUACCGUGAGGUAUUCAGCUUGGCAGUACUAAUAGGUCGAGGGCUUGACCAU
This 987-nucleotide ribosomal RNA is filed under the name human gut metagenome. RNAcentral's name for it is "bacterial LSU rRNA". It matches the Rfam family "Bacterial large subunit ribosomal RNA", at positions 1942 to 2925 of the family's 2925-position model. The record is from RNAcentral.